AAAUCUAACCGUAGACAGCGGGUGCGAAAGCUUAAUUUCCCGCCGAGGUACAAUAUAAAAAUAUUGACCUUGCCUGUCCGCGGCCAUGCCAGAGCAGACAAGGUUUUUUUAUGG
RNAcentral lists this small RNA (114 nucleotides) under pig gut metagenome. RNAcentral's name for it is "Ribosomal protein L10 leader". It matches the Rfam family "Ribosomal protein L10 leader", at positions 11 to 134 of the family's 138-position model. Rfam says of the family: This family is a putative r-protein leader autoregulatory structure found in B. subtilis and other low-GC Gram-positive bacteria. It is located in the 5' untranslated regions of mRNAs encoding ribosomal proteins L10 and L12 (rplJ-rplL). The record is from RNAcentral.